Molecule: ribosomal RNA, 738 nt
Filed under: uncultured endophytic bacterium
Lineage: Bacteria
Description: bacterial SSU rRNA
Rfam family: Bacterial small subunit ribosomal RNA
Source: RNAcentral
AUUAACAGGAUUAGAUACCCUGGUAGUCCACGCCGUAAACGAUGAUAACUAGCUGUCCGGGCACUUGGUGCUUGGGUGGCGCAGCUAACGCAUUAAGUUAUCCGCCUGGGGAGUACGGCCGCAAGGUUAAAACUCAAAUGAAUCGACGGGGGCCUGCACAAGCGGUGGAGCAUGCGGUUUAAUUCGAAGUAACGCGCAGAACCUUACCAGCGUUUGACAUGUCCGGACGAUUUCCAGAGAUGGAUCUCUUCCCUUCGGGGACUGGAACACAGGUGCUGCAUGGCUGUCGUCAGCUCGUGUCGUGAGAUGUUGGGUUAAGUCCCGCAACGAGCGCAACCCUCGCCUUUAGUUGCCAUCAUUCAGUUGGGCACUUUAAAGGAACCGCCGGUGAUAAGCCGGAGGAAGGUGGGGAUGACGUCAAGUCCUCAUGGCCCUUACGCGCUGGGCUACACACGUGCUACAAUGGCGGUGACAGUGGGCAGCAAGCACGCGAGUGUGAGCUAAUCUCCAAAAGCCGUCUCAGUUCGGAUUGCACUCUGCAACUCGAGUGCAUGAAGGCGGAAUCGCUAGUAAUCGCGGAUCAGCAUGCCGCGGUGAAUACGUUCCCAGGCCUUGUACACACCGCCCGUCACACCAUGGGAGUUGGAUUCACCCGAAGGCGUUGCGCUAACUCGUAAGAGAGGCAGGCGACCACGGUGGGUUUAGCGACUGGGGUGAAGUCGUAACAAGGUAACCGUA